CAGUCGCCACGGUAAUACGAAGGGUGCAAGCGUUACUCGGAAUUACUGGGCGUAAAGCGUGCGUAGGUGGUGGUUUAAGUCCGUUGUGAAAGCCCUGGGCUCAACCUGGGAAUUGCAGUGGAUACUGGGUCACUAGAGUGUGGUAGAGGAUAGUGGAAUUUCCGGUGUAGCAGUGAAAUGCGUAGAGAUCGGAAGGAACAUCUGUGGCGAAGGCGACUAUCUGGGCCAACACUGACACUGAGGCACGAAAGCGUGGGGAGCAAACAGGAUUAGAUACACCUGUAGUCCCUGUCUCUUAUAC
Molecule: ribosomal RNA, 301 nt
Filed under: uncultured bacterium
Lineage: Bacteria
Description: partial 16S ribosomal RNA
Rfam family: Bacterial small subunit ribosomal RNA
Source: RNAcentral